GUGCCUAAUACAUGCAAGUCGAGCGAACGGACGAGAAGCUUGCUUCUCUGAUGUUAGCGGCGGACGGGUGAGUAACACGUGGAUAACCUACCUAUAAGACUGGGAUAACUUCGGGAAACCGGAGCUAAUACCGGAUAAUAUUUUGAACCGCAUGGUUCAAAAGUGAAAGACGGUCUUGCUGUCACUUAUAGAUGGAUCCGCGCUGCAUUAGCUAGUUGGUAAGGUAACGGCUUACCAAGGCAACGAUGCAUAGCCGACCUGAGAGGGUGAUCGGCCACACUGGAACUGAGACACGGUCCAGACUCCUACGGGAGGCAGCAGUAGGGAAUCUUCCGCAAUGGGCGAAAGCCUGACGGAGCAACGCCGCGUGAGUGAUGAAGGUCUUCGGAUCGUAAAACUCUGUUAUUAGGGAAGAACAUAUGUGUAAGUAACUGUGCACAUCUUGACGGUACCUAAUCAGAAAGCCACGGCUAACUACGUGCCAGCAGCCGCGGUAAUACGUAGGUGGCAAGCGUUAUCCGGAAUUAUUGGGCGUAAAGCGCGCGUAGGCGGUUUUUUAAGUCUGAUGUGAAAGCCCACGGCUCAACCGUGGAGGGUCAUUGGAAACUGGAAAACUCGAGUGCAGAAGAGGAAAGUGGAAUUCCAUGUGUAGCGGUGAAAUGCGCAGAGAUAUGGAGGAACACCAGUGGCGAAGGCGACUUUCUGGUCUGUAACUGACGCUGAUGUGCG
This 729-nucleotide ribosomal RNA is filed under the name uncultured Staphylococcus sp. Its description in RNAcentral is "bacterial SSU rRNA". It matches the Rfam family "Bacterial small subunit ribosomal RNA", at positions 44 to 755 of the family's 1533-position model. The record is from RNAcentral. Lineage: Bacteria; Bacillati; Bacillota; Bacilli; Caryophanales; Staphylococcaceae.